RNAcentral lists this transfer RNA (72 nucleotides) under Candidatus Curtissbacteria bacterium. RNAcentral describes it as "tRNA-Thr". It matches the Rfam family "tRNA". From Rfam's summary of the family: Transfer RNA (tRNA) molecules are approximately 80 nucleotides in length. Their secondary structure includes four short double-helical elements and three loops (D, anti-codon, and T loops). The record is from RNAcentral. Lineage: Bacteria; Candidatus Curtissiibacteriota.
GCCGGAGUAGCUCAGUGGCAGAGCAACUGUUUCGUAAACAGUGGGCCGUGAGUUCGAUUCUCACCUUCGGCU